CCCUUGUGUUAUCCCUGUUCUAGAGGUGAGGAGACGGAGGUAUGAAGUGAUUAAAUAAGUUCCUCAAGCUGCAUGGCCUAGGAGUGGUAGCGUUAGAGUUGUGAUCUGAUCAGAGAGCAGAGCUUGGAUGCCCAAGCCCUUGGCAGGGUUUAUUGGUGGCAGGAGGGCCAUUUGGUGCCAGCUGUAACUGCAGAGCUUAGUACUGCCCGAAGGAUGGCACACUUGUCUGUGCCCCUGUCUGCCCGCCUCCUGGAAGGCUGUGAAGCUUCUUUCAGCUCUGUUGCAACUCCCAGGAACCAGCCAGAACAGGAGGCAGCCAGAGAGACCAGUGCCAGGAAGAAUGUGGCUGCUGUCCUGGAAGGAGAGGACCCACUAGGAAGAACAGAACCCGGCCGGCUCAGCCCCUGAGGCUCACUCUCUCCAGGGACCUGGCCUCGGGCCCUAGUAGCCCACCUCCUACCACUGUGGGCCAUCACCAGCCCACUUCAGAAAAAGGUCAUUAAACCAGAUACUGCCCGCUUCCAAAUAAAUGAGAGCUUCAAGUAAAAGUAAGUGAGAAGCACCUUAGUCCCUACCACCACCCUGGCAAGCAAGGCUGAAGAUGUGUUUCCUUCUGUAUUUCAUCUAUCUGAAGGGGUCACCCUGGGGACUUGGGUAUUCAGAUGACGGUCUCCUUGAGGAACUAGAGGAAGAAUGUCCAAGGCCUGCUUUGGACAGAGAGGAUCCUGGACCCCCAGUUGCUGAAUAGAAGAAGUAAGGUCUGGGGUCAGGGCUGCCAUCCUAGGUUAGAGGGAGCUGGGGUAGGUGGGGUGGUUGGGACAGGUGUGGCCUGCUCCAGGCUUAGGGAGGUUCAGAUAGGUACAAUUAACCCAUAAAGUCCUUU
RNAcentral lists this long non-coding RNA (883 nucleotides) under Capra hircus (goat). RNAcentral's name for it is "lncRNA (ENSCHIG00000006204.1)". Lineage: Eukaryota; Metazoa; Chordata; Mammalia; Artiodactyla; Bovidae. The record is from RNAcentral.